GCAAUUAUCCAUGAACAUUAUGAGGGUCUGAAGAAAGCCAUUUUCACUGAACCAGACCCAAAUCUGAAUAUUGUACAACAAAACCUGGUUCCCAAACUAAACAGUGCCGUCUUCGCUUAUUCCAACUGGCAGAUGAAUCAUGCCACAUCUGAGCAGCAGGGUGCUGGAGAGGGACCUUCAAAUCAAGAAAGGUCCAGCAGGGCUCAGCUGUUAGCGUUGAUCAAAUCCAAAUCAUAUGGACAAGUUAUAGAGGCUUCCAAGUCCCGACCAUAGACUGUAUAAAAAGGUCCCGACAUCACAGACAGACAGAGUUGGUCCCAGCAGCUGGACCAGACAUUUCACUAAAGGUGUCAUCAAAAAAGAAAUGAUACCCAUCACUUAAAAUGCGCACUCAAUUAUGCUUCAAAACUCAGGGAAAUGAGAGUGAGGGCUCAAAUUUGACCCGGCUGUGAUGUUUGAGUGCAGUGAAAGAAGAGAAGGAACCAG
Long non-coding RNA from Sinocyclocheilus grahami, 486 nucleotides. RefSeq lists it as uncharacterized. The record is from RefSeq and is a predicted model, not a curated record. The transcript has 5 exons. NCBI's taxonomy places the organism in Eukaryota, Metazoa, Chordata, Actinopteri, Cypriniformes, Cyprinidae.